RNAcentral lists this ribosomal RNA (406 nucleotides) under uncultured bacterium. Its description in RNAcentral is "bacterial SSU rRNA". It matches the Rfam family "Bacterial small subunit ribosomal RNA", at positions 439 to 842 of the family's 1533-position model. The record is from RNAcentral.
CCGGGGAGCAAGCGUGCGUUCGUGAACGCGCGUCGAGAGUACCCGGAGAAAAAGCAUCGGCUAACUCCGUGCCAGCAGCCGCGGUAAUACGGAGGAUGCGAGCGUUAUCCGGAUUUAUUGGGUUUAAAGGGUGCGUAGGCGGGAUGCCAAGUCAGCGGUAAAAAUGCGGUGCUCAACGCCGUCGAGCCGUUGAAACUGGCGUUCUUGAGUGGGCGAGAAGUAUGCGGAAUGCGUGGUGUAGCGGUGAAAUGCAUAGAUAUCACGCAGAACUCCGAUUGCGAAGGCAGCAUACCGGCGCCCUACUGACGCUGAGGCACGAAAGCGUGGGUAUCGAACAGGAUUAGAUACCCUGGUAGUCCACGCAGUAAACGAUGAAUGCUAACUGUCCGGCUCGAAUGAGCGCUGG